Molecule: ribosomal RNA, 253 nt
Filed under: uncultured bacterium
Lineage: Bacteria
Description: partial 16S ribosomal RNA
Rfam family: Bacterial small subunit ribosomal RNA
Source: RNAcentral
UACGUAGGGGGCAAGCGUUGUCCGGAAUCAUUGGGCGUAAAGAGCGUGUAGGCGGCCAGAUAAGUCCGCUGUGAAAUCUCGAGGCUCAACUUCGAGCUGUCGGUGGAAACUGUCUGGCUAGAGUCCGGAAGAGGAGAAUGGAAUUCCUGGUGUAGCGGUGAAAUGCGCAGAUAUCAGGAAGAACACCCGUGGCGAAGGCGGUUCUCUGGGACGGUACUAACGCUGAGACGCGAAAGCGUGGGGAGCGAACAGG